GAAUAUUGCACAAUGGGGGCAACCCUGAUGCAGCAAUGCCGCGUGAGCGAAGAAGGCUUUCGAGUUGUAAAGCUCUUUUCUGCGAGACGAGAGAGGACGGUAUCGCAGGAAUAAGUCCCGGCUAACUACGUGCCAGCAGCCGCGGUAAGACGUAGGGGGCGAGCGUUAUCCGGAAUUACUGGGCGUAAAGCGCGUGUAGGCGGUCUAUCAAGUUGGGUGUGAAAGCUCCCGGCUUAACCGGGAGAGGUCAUCCAAGACUGGUAGACUUGAGUGAGGUAGAGGAGCACAGAAUUCCUGGUGUAGUGGUGGAAUGCGUAGAGAUCAGGAGGAAUACCAGUGGCGAAAGCGGUGCUCUGGGCCUUAACUGACGCUGAGAGGCGAAAGCGUGGGGAGCGAACGGG
This 401-nucleotide ribosomal RNA is filed under the name uncultured bacterium. RNAcentral describes it as "bacterial SSU rRNA". It matches the Rfam family "Bacterial small subunit ribosomal RNA", at positions 359 to 776 of the family's 1533-position model. The record is from RNAcentral.